Molecule: ribosomal RNA, 229 nt
Filed under: uncultured bacterium
Lineage: Bacteria
Description: partial 16S ribosomal RNA
Rfam family: Bacterial small subunit ribosomal RNA
Source: RNAcentral
UGCGUAGGCGGGCUAAUAAGUCAGUGGUGAAAUAUUCCGGCUCAACCGGGAGACUGCCAUUGAUACUGUUAGUCUUGAGUUCGGCUGAGGUAGGCGGAAUGUGUAAUGUAGCGGUGAAAUGCUUAGAUAUUACACAGAACACCAAUUGCGUAGGCAGCUUACUAGACCGACACUGACGCUGAGGCACGAAGGCGUGGGUAGCGAACAGGAUUAGAUACCCUGGUAGUCC